Molecule: long non-coding RNA, 233 nt
Filed under: Carica papaya (papaya)
Lineage: Eukaryota; Viridiplantae; Streptophyta; Magnoliopsida; Brassicales; Caricaceae
Description: long non-coding RNA (CPAP_LNC002229)
Source: RNAcentral
AAUGAGUCAAAGUCAGUUUUGGGUGUGUGUGUGACGCAGAUAUCAAGGCAAAUCAAGAGGAUUGUCCAACAUUGAGGCCUGGUCCAAUUACUAGAAGUAUUUCCAAACAAUUGAAGACCAACAUUCAGAGCUAUGUGCAAAAGAUGCUUUCUAAUUAUCCUGGACCGAGUUAUGGAGACAACAUCCAAGAAUCUAAUUUGGUGCAUUUAAUUGGGCCUUUGGGCCAUGACCUU